Molecule: ribosomal RNA, 450 nt
Filed under: uncultured bacterium
Lineage: Bacteria
Description: partial 16S ribosomal RNA
Rfam family: Bacterial small subunit ribosomal RNA
Source: RNAcentral
GUGGGGAAUCUUCCGCAAUGGACGAAAGUCUGACGGAGCGACGCCGCGUGAGUGAAGAAGGCCUUCGGGUCGUAAAGCUCUGUCAUCAGGGACGAAUGGCCGGUGGAGUGGAAAGCCACCGGAUUGACGGUACCUGAGAAGGAAGCCACGGCUAACUACGUGCCAGCAGCCGCGGUAAUACGUAGGUGGCAAGCGUUGUCCGGAAUUAUUGGGCGUAAAGCGCGCGCAGGUGGGAUCUUAAGUCCAUUUUGAAAGUUCGGAGCUCAACUCCGUGAUGGGAUGGAAACUGGGAUUCUUGAGUACCGGAGAGGAAAGCGGAAUGCCCCGUGUAGCGGUGAAAUGCGUAGAUAUGGGGAGGAACACCAGUGGCGAAGGCGGCUUUCUGGACGGUGUCUGACACUGAGGCGCGAAAGCCAGGGGAGCGAACGGGAUUAGAUACCCGAGUAGUCC